Long non-coding RNA from Hemicordylus capensis (graceful crag lizard), 378 nucleotides. RefSeq lists it as uncharacterized. The record is from RefSeq and is a predicted model, not a curated record. The transcript is spliced from 3 exons. Lineage: Eukaryota; Metazoa; Chordata; Lepidosauria; Squamata; Cordylidae.
UAAGCUCUUAUGCAAAUAGAGGGCUGCGCUACAAAAUUUAUCUACCUGUCUGGUGGUACUGGAAUUACUUCCUUCCAACAGCCUGCCAACCAUCUGAGGAGAAUCAAAACCUGGGCAUUUAGCCGUCAAAGGGUUAAGAGAACUCCAGCAGCUGUAUAUUUGUUGAAUACCAGCCUCCUGAUGAAUACCACUUCCCCAGAAACAAACCACCCACUGAUACAACUUCUGUCUUAUCUGCACUGAGUCUCAGUUGAAUGACCAUUCCAGUCCACUCCUGGUUCCAGACACUGAUUCAUCACUUCCACCAAUUGAUCACACUGAAUUUGUUCUAUUGUUAAAUGAACAUACUCAGGAUGCUGAAUUCUGUACAACCAUAUU